Molecule: ribosomal RNA, 584 nt
Filed under: Lytocarpia phyteuma
Lineage: Eukaryota; Metazoa; Cnidaria; Hydrozoa; Leptothecata; Aglaopheniidae
Description: partial large subunit ribosomal RNA
Rfam family: Bacterial large subunit ribosomal RNA
Source: RNAcentral
CCAAAAACAUAGCCCUUAAAAAAAUUAAAGGUGAAACCUGCCCAAUGAUUUAAUAAUUUACACUUAAAAGAUAAAUAAAAAAUUAAAUGGCUGCAGUAACCAUGACUGUAAAAAUGUAGCAUAAUAAUUCGCCACUUAAUUAGUGGAUAGUAUGAAUGGUUAAACGAAAAUUCCACUGUCUUAUAAAAUACAAUAAAAAAUUUAAAUCAUAGUUAAGAUGCUAUGUAAAACUGUAAGACGAAAAGACCCUAUAAAGCUUAACUAUAAAUCUUAACAUUUUAAUAUUAAAACUAAUAAAAAUCAUUAAGAUUUGGUAGUUUCAUUGGGGCGAUGAUCUCUAAAAAUAAACAGAGAUAAACUAAUUUAAUAAUAAAAUUUACUGUAUAAUUAAUAAAUUUAACAGUUACAAAGUAGGGUAUAAUGACCCAUUAUUCUAAUUAAAAAAAAAAUAAUGAACAAUAAAUAAAAGCUACUUUAGGGAUAACAGGAUAAUAAUUUCUUAGAGACCCAAUCGAAGAAAAAGUUUAUCACCUCGAUGUUGAAUUAAGAUAACCUAAUGACGCAGCAGUAAUUAAAGGUAGGUC